AAAAUAUGUUAGUCACUGUAGUCUCCCUUGGCUGUGGUAAGAUUAAGCCAUGCCUUUUACAAUUCAGCCUUUAGGACAAUGAAUGCUAUGUUAUUUAAUAUCCAUCUUCUAAUCAAUGGAGAUAAGUAGAUCAGAGAAACUUAAGGUAAUGCAAGUUGAUCUGCACAAAGUUACAAAAAAGUGUAUAAAAGGCUAGGAACAUAGCUCAGGGGGUAGAGUGUUUGCUUCUUAUGCACAAUGCUCUGUGUUCAAUCCCCAGCACCACAAAGAGAGGGAGAGAGAGAGAGAGAGAAGGAGAGAGAGAGAGAGAGAAAUGAGCUUUGGGGGCUGGAUCUGUGGCUCAGUGGUAGAGCACCUGCCUUGCAUGUGUGAGGCAAUGGGAUCAGUCUUCAACACCACAUAAAAAUAAAUAAAUAAAGAUAUUGUGUCCAUUUUAAAUAUCUAAAAUGUGAAUGGGGAGGUUAUCUUCAGAUGAAUAAACAUUCAUGAUCUAGAAGGUCUGUAUGAGAAAACAAUUUCCUGAAGAGAUGAAGCUGAGUAUUCGCACAUCCUUAUGUAGAAGCCUCCUCUUUGAUAAUACAUAGAAGUUGGAAUCUUCAUGCAAAAUCACCACAUGAAAGACUACUUAGGAGACUGUAUGAAGGCUUGCUAGUGGAAACUGGCAUUGUCCAGUUCAUAAUAAUGAAUGAAGAACCAAAGAUUGCUUUUGACUGAGAUGGCUCUAAUGGUCUGCUACUGUGCACCUCCCAGAAGACACAAUAGUAUGGAGCUGAGUCUUGUUUCUCUGCAUUGGGAAUGGUGAGGGUAGACACAGAAGUUGCAGGUAUCUUGUCCACCUCAAGUUUGCCUAAUGUAGUGCUUUUUUUCAGAUUGACAGAGUUGUCAGGAGCUGCAUGGCAUGAGCAGGUCUUUUCCUGAUGCGAGUGUGUGGACAUGGCAGAAAUGGUUAUUCCAGACACCACACAUUCCAGUUGUGCUACUUUGGAAAGCAUUUUAGUACAAAGGUUGAAUUUGCUUGGGUCACCUGCAUUGUAUACAAACCCUGGAGGAAAAAGGGGUGGGGGAUAGUUUGCAAAAAUAGAAUGAAAACAUUGAAUUAAAAAAAAAUACAAAGUUAAAGAAAAUCAGUGAAAAGUAUAUGGAGGAGGCAGACAACAUAUGUGACCUAGAGGAUCUGUGGGAGAGAGUAAAGAUUUCUGAAAAGAUGAGGCUGAGCAUUUGGACAUUCUUAGGUAAAACUUCCUUUUGAGAAAAUAUGGAAGUUUGAAACUCCAGUGUAAAAUCACCACAUGAGUGAUUUACCUAGGAGACUGUAUAAAAGCAUGCUGGUGGUAAAGGGUGGUCCUUAGCACCUAUUAGCACUUGCACCCUGAAGGUGGGAACACAAGGUUCACCAUCUUACAUCUGAUCAUGGAGAGCAGAUGACCACCUCAGAACUACAAGACCACUUAUUCACACAGUCAGUGUCAUUCAACACCCAUCAUUUGUCACGGGGGCCUAGUUUAUUGGGAUACAGAUGCAGGGAGCUGUCUAACAGAGAUGAGUCGCCACCAUGAUCUUGGUCUUUUCUGUUUUCAAACACUACCUUUCACAGAAUAAAAAUACAAUAACCCCACUGAGCUGUCAGGCCAGAGUGGUGGGUGGUCAGGCUGUGCUGCAUAUCAUUGAGCCCACAGAGAGCUUGUCUUCACCCAGGUGGAGACUUUGAUUGGGUAGUGAACUGACCCCUGUUCAGUUACUCUCACAUCCUGUAGGUUUUGGAAUCUAGCCACCUUUCUGGGUCUGAAUACUCCAUUCCUGGUGGCUUGCUCCUGUUUAAGUUUUAUCUUUCUGUCCUAUCCCAGCUACCAGAGCUAUACAUCUGUGCUAAACCCCAGUCUCUAAGAAGCACUGUUCCCUCUUUCUGAAUUACUGCUUUUGUUUUUGUCUGUUUUCCUUUCUCUAACCCAAGACAUUUUAUCUGUGCUAGAGUAUUUUUAAAAACUGCUCUUUCCCAAUCAGCUCAUUAAAAUUUAUUGUCUAGAUUUCUGUUUUUACUUUACCUACUCUGCCUCAGUUGUCACUUCCCCACUCUUAAAAGAAUGAACAAGGCUCCUCAGAGAAAAUACCCAUUUAUUGAGGAACAGCCUGGGGUGGUUUGACAGUUAUGACAGUUUAAUGGUUGAAUGGUUUGACAGUUGGCAUGGGGUGCUUUCUGAUUGGUGGAUAAGGAUCAUGUGAGCCAGCAGGGCUAGACUGAUUGGUGGGUAAGGAUCAUGUGAACCAGCAGGGCUCACCAUUGGACGGCUCUUCUGGGGGGGGGGAGUUAGUCUUUGGAGCCAGGGCGACCCCCAACAUUACUUAUCUUUAAUUAUCUUAGAGGGGAGAAAAGAAGGGAUAGGGGAAUAUCACACACCCAUCUUUACCCCUCCUACCACCAGAGCUCCAUAUGCACUUGUCCAACUGACCACCAGAUAACUUCAAGUUUGGCUCACAUAAGACAUCAGGAAACUACAAAUGUACAGAGCCAGAGUAGAUUCAUCAUUCCUCUUGGCCACUCAUCUUUUCCUACUGUAUAAGGGAACAUCACUGCUACUCACUUUGCACAAGCCAGACUAUGCAUGUCAGUCAGCCCCAACUCCCCAACUCUCUCCUCUAAUUUUUCACAGUUCAGUUUUUGUGGAUUCUACCUCUUAAACAGGCUUGGCUCACACCUGUCUCCAUUCUGUCUUUCACAUUUUGCAAACACUGGAUCCUACCACCCUCUUACCCACCACCUGGGUACUGAUCUUAUCUAGUUCAUUUUCUGCUUAGAAUUCUUCAUUCUGCUCUAUUCUGCUUCUGAGUAUCAAGUCCAGAGCUGCUAGAACAUGAGUCCUAUGAGAUGGUAUCUCCUCCCUUCUUUUCUGUCUUCAGGUAUUCUCUCCUUAGAUGCCCAAGAUCCACAUCUGUGCUUCUCAGAAUAUAUCACACCUGUGAAUACUACUUCAAUCCACAGAUGUGCUGCUGUAUAUCCCACUUUUCUUGGUGAACUCCUGUUCAUCUCUGGACUCAGCUCAGGCACUGUCUCCUCCAGGAAUCUUCUCACCAGGUAGUCUGGGGUGAAUGUACCUCCAAUUGCUUUCUAGUGGUGCCUUUAGUGUCUCUGUCUCUCAAAAGGUUUCUUUCCAAUAUUUGGGCUGUAUGGUUAUUGUUAUCUCUUAUUAGACUCAUUUGGGAACCAUUAGGAGGGGAAUGAGACUAUCCUUUAUUUAGUUUUACUUCCAGUUAUUUGUGGAAUGGAAUAAAAAGUGAAGGAAUGAGUGGAAUAGUGGUCAUUGAAGUAUUUCUUUUCAUGCAGUGAAAGAUCAUCAUUUAAAAUAUAACCUGUAAAACAAACAAACAAAAAACCCAGAUACCAAGUGAUGACAUGUCCCAAACACUCUGUAUCCUUUCUCAUGUUGAACUAUGUAAAAUAGUGUAAUCUCCAUGAAGCCCAGUUGGAAGAAAGUGAGACUCAACUUAUCACAACUUGUCAUUGACAGAUUUGAGAGUGUUUUUUUUUUUUUUUCUGACUACAAAGCAUGUAACAUUUGCCUUUUCUCAUCUAUCUGGUAAGAAUAAAAUCAGGACCCACCUUAUUGGACAUUUGUGAAGCAUAAAUAAGUUAGCUCAGGUAGAGGGUUUGCAUCAGUGCCUUAACUACUGUUAGGCCAAAAUUGGGAAGAAAGGUUUUGAGAGCAAACCCUGAGAGUUGUUUCUGUCAGAAUCUGUCAUGUUGCCUUCACUGAAUAUGCCCAGUUGAGCAUUAGAAAUAUACUAGUCCUGCUCUUGUCACACUAAUCUCUCAUGAAGAGACAGGCCAAAAGCAAGGCUCCCACAAAGAAAGUGACAAUGGUGUCUUGGGCAAAAGGAAGUAUGUUGUUCUGUAGAGAGCUCCUUUAGGAACUUGUGCCUCCUUUGGCCACACCCAGUCAUCAGCAAUUCACAGAAUUCACUCCUAUCUGGAGCCAAGCUUGAAAGAGGUGCAGGAAGUGCACAAGGCCUCUCUUUUCUGUACCCAUCUGGCAUUAUUAGCACAUUGAGGAAUAAGAAAUGAAGGAGCAAUCUGAAAACAAAACAACAACAAAAAGUAAGUUUCAGCACUUCUCCUUCCAUCCUUCUGAUAAGUGCUGGGAGGACUUAGCUUUGACUUAGGACUUUGUGUGCAGGAAGGAUAAUGGGGCUCUUUUAGAAAUCAGGCAUGUGGUAGUUAUACAUCUCUAGUCACAAAAACAGAAGUUGAGAGAGAGAGACAGUGAGUUGAGAACCUGAAGGAUCACUUUUCUUGGAAAUCAUUUGCCCCUUCUACUCAUAAUCUGCUUUUAUUUUAUUGAUAUUUUCAUAAAUACCUGUAUAAAUGUUGGAUCUUCAAUGUAAAAAAGUGUUUACCUUCAACUAAACCUUUAAAAAUCUUUUUGUUUCAUUGUUGUUUUUCUUCACACACAUCAGCAGAGGAGUUUCCUCUUAGGUGCUGGAGGAUUGGGAACACAGGUUUAUUUUUUUUUCCAUUUAUUUUUCUAUUAAAGAAGUUGGUUGUUUGUAUGAAGACAGACACAACAAUAUCUUAUUUGUAUGACUUGGCUUUAUUACAGAAAUUGUAGUCACAUGGUUUAGCAGCCAUUUGUGGAAAGUGGAAACAGCACGAAGAACUUGACUCUGGAGAAGCCUGGGUGCAUCCAUGUCCCAUGCUGGGCGAUGCUCAAGGAGCAGUGGAGGGCAAAGGACCCAGCGACUCCCCCAGGGUUUCGCACAUCACCCUGCCAUGAGGAUUAGCUCCUAACAUCAGCUCCUGCACUAUUUCUCCAAUGGAUGAGGGUGCUGGACUUGGGCAAUAUUGUUACCUAAGCUUCCUACUGACUAAUGUCAUGUGAGAAGGGUCUAUGGGACAAGAACUUAGAAGCUGGAAAUUAAGAGUAAGUUCCCUCUCUCAGUGUUUUCAACCAUUUGGUGGUAAAUACAGAGGGUCUUUCAUUCAAGAAAUCUCAUGUCAGAUAUUUUAUUUGUGCAUUCUUUGGGUGAGAUGGUCAGACCCUUAAAUUAUCCAUAGAUAAAAACAUCACCAACAUGAGCCACAAAUUAAAAAUUUUCUAGUUAGUGCAUUAAAAAGUAAAGAGAACUAGCUAAAUUAGUUUUACUACUAUCAUUAUUUAAUCCAAGGUGUCUAAAAUAUAAUCAUAUAACAUUGAAUCAAUAUAAAUGUUUUUGAAUUAUUUCACUUUUGUUAUACUUAGUCUUCAAAGUUUGGUUUAUAUUUUAGCCCUACAGUCCAUCUCAGCUUGGACCUUUUCAAUAGCUCCUUUUCAAGUGUUUCAAGUGCUCAAAAACCACUUGGAACCAGUGGCACUGGUAUGGAUCAGCACUGCUUAUCCUCCACAUGUUUCAGAACCUUUGAAGAGGAGGCCCUUUGAGAGGGUCCCUUUGACUGGAUUGCACACAGAUUCUGUGUCAGCCUGAGAACUCACCUGUCUUUGGCCUCAUCCCCUUAUCUGUGGUGGGAGCACUGAGGGGAAACCAGUAGAGGCCAGGGGGCUGAAGGCCAGGAGUGGGUUUUUUCUACUUUCAUGCCAUAAGGAAACCGAAGGGACCAAAAGUUAGUGAACAUGUCCAAGGCCUGGCAGGAAGGAGAAGAGGCCUUUUUGUGUGGGGUCUGGAUUGGUCCCCAGGGCUGUGCCGCUCCAGGUCGCCUAGUAGUACAUACCUUCAUCACCCUUUUCUACCUUCCACACCAACAGAGAACAGCUACUGCCAUUCCUGGUGUUCACAGUUGUGAUUCUACCUGAUUUCAAGAUUUUGAAUCCCAUUGCACAACCCUGCUGAACAUAGCCAUCCAGAGAAGUCUCUGGGGGCGCUGGUCCUCCUCCUGCUGGUACCUCCAGGAGGUAGCUGACCUGGCUGUGGACCAAGCACUGCAGAAAGACAGAGUUUUCCUUGUGUGCCAGGACCUGGGUCGCUUGCUCCAGCAUGAUGAGUGGCUGCCCCGCUUUGAAGGAGAAAACUGUGAGGCAGAGGCAACCCCAAGCCUGGAAGCCUCUGCAGAUGUCACUCUGCAAGAAGGUGGGAGACUUACCUAGAAACAAGAGGACCCAGAGGAGGGUGAGGAGGCCUGACAUGACUCUUGCUCCUGACAGAAGCUCAGGGUGACCUCUGGUCUCAAACUGCUGCCAAAAGCCACAGCUUGGUGAGUGGUUGAGGCCAGGUGGGGCCUGAGCCAAUUCCUGUCUUGUGCAAGGAUGUCAUUAAUAAGAGAAGUAGGAGAGGGAGGAAGAGGCUCUAGAGAGAGGAUAUACACAAAUCUAAUUGCAAGAUGAAGGGAAAGGGGAUGAAUAGUUUGAGUUCUGAGAAAUCAACUUUAAAAAUGUUGCUGGAGUCAUACUUGCCCGAAGAGGAAAUGUGGUGGGACGCUUCCUGUACUCUCAAACUCCCUUGAUGUGCAGGGGCCUGGAGCAGUGGCAUGAUUGACUUGUUACCUGAGUUAUAUUAGAUCCUAAAAGUAACCUAAUGAAAUAAACAGUAUUAUUCUCAGCUUUUGAAAUGUGGAAAUCAAGGCAGAAACUCAUUAAAGUCUGAACAGGUCUGGAGAACCAGGGUGGUCACAUGGUGCGAGGUAUGGCAGUAGACCUCUCUAAGGCCUCAUUUAGAAACUCUAUAGUAAUGGAGACAUAAGUAUGCUGUUUGCUUUGAGAAAAGGACAAGCACUGGAAAGUAAUUUCUGCCCAAAGUGCCUGCUCCCUAUGUGGGCUAUCAUUGGAAUUUGUCACUCACAGGUCCUGUUGCAGAUUUUCAGUGCUCCGAAAUUCAGCAGGAAAGUUGUGUGGUCUUGGGCAAGUUGUUUUGCUUCCUUUCUACUCUCGUCUAAUUUUCACCUGUAACUGAUCAACCCCAAGUGACCUUGUGUUCCUAGUCAACAGAUUGAAUGUGCCUCCACAGGCCCUAGGAGAGCUGAGAGAAUGAUGCUGUCAGCCAGGAUUCUUGGCCAAGGAUGAGCGAUAGCAGUUGGGAGUUUGGUCUUAGGAGUCAUUUGGGGGCAGUGCAUAGCUGUUAAGGGGAUUGACGAGGAUGGUAGUUGGGCUUCAGACUCAUGAUUUCCCUUUGUUCAGAGUACAGUGAGUUCAUGGCAGGAAGUGAGAUGGGGAUUUGUCUAGGUGGUAUACCAGAAAGAGAGCACAAUUUUGAGUGUACACAAGGACCAAUCUAAAUCACUGUGCUAGUCAAAUAGGCACAGGAAUACAAAGCAGAGUCACUUUCUUCCAGAUUUCUUACUGUAAAUUUAUAUCUCCCAUCUGCACCUUUAUAAACAACAUAUUUCCCUGAUGGGAUUCCAGAGUCCUCCACAACCUUGCAACUUAAAAAAUUAUAGUAGAGAAGGCGUUGUGGGGCCUUUGCCUCCUUGAAUUGGUACCAGUGGAUGUCCUUAUUUGUGAUUUGUAAGUCACAAGUGAUUGCCAGAAGUGACCCAGGUAAACGUGUGACUGACAUCAUUCUCCUUUCCAAACUGGAAGAUGUUUGACUGCCUGGAAUGGUAACAACAAUAAUAAUUAACAGCAACGAUGUAAUGGAAUUCUUUGUUAUGGCCUUUUUUGGAGAAAACAACAUCCUAUGAGCAUCUGUGCCACAUACUUACCAGGAGGCAGGGUGGCUAAAAGUAGGGCUAGAGCCCACAGCAUGCCUUCUUCCCUGGGGCUUACAAAGAAAAGGACCAGAUUAUAAAAAGAGAAUAAACACCUCUCAAAACUCAAAUCCUGCUCAAAAUGGAAGGGAUCCCUCCAACAGUGACUGAAACCUGAUCCUCCUGACUGCAUCAGAACCAGGGAGAAGUAACUGAGGAAGUGCCUGAGAAGACUAUCCAGCUGUUUACCCACAGAGUGGUGCUGGGAGGAGCCUCUGCCUCUGUGCUUCUGCCCACUUCUUUAGUGCCCCCAUAUGGCCACUGAGAGCAGGUCCUCUGCAGAGAAGGAGAAGCCAGGAGCCUAGAGAACUCAGAGCUAAAGCAGGUUGAACACAAAUGUGGGAAGCAGAGCCCUGGAUGAAAUUUGUCUGCCUUGUGGAAACAUGAAAAUCCCCCAGAAAUUCAGUUUUCAGGUUGAUGGUACUGCCUUGGUCUUGUCCUGAGAUGAAACUUCUUCAUCAUGUUCCUGAACCACCUUCACUUACAUUUGUAAAUAGAUGUUGGGAACAAUCAUCAACUGUAAAUCUGAUAAGCUUUGAGUCCAUUUUAUUAAAAAAAACUUGGAUCAAUUAUAUUGGCUGCAAAUUAUAUUCCCCCAUGGUAAAUCGGGUUGUGUGUGUGUAUGUGCUUGUGUGUGUGGUGGAGGGGGU
RNAcentral lists this long non-coding RNA (8316 nucleotides) under Marmota monax (woodchuck). The record is from RNAcentral. Lineage: Eukaryota; Metazoa; Chordata; Mammalia; Rodentia; Sciuridae.